RNAcentral lists this ribosomal RNA (253 nucleotides) under uncultured bacterium. RNAcentral describes it as "partial 16S ribosomal RNA". It matches the Rfam family "Bacterial small subunit ribosomal RNA", at positions 524 to 776 of the family's 1533-position model. The record is from RNAcentral.
UACGUAGGGGGCUAGCGUUGUCCGGAAUCAUUGGGCGUAAAGAGCGUGUAGGCGGCCCGGUAAGUCCGCUGUAAAAGUCAAAGGCUUAACCUUUGAAUGUCAGUGGAUACUGCCGGGCUAGAGUCCGGAAGAGGCGAGUGGAACUCCUGGUGUAGCGGUGAAAUGCGCAGAUAUCAGGAAGAACACCUAUGGCGAAGGCAGCUCUCUGGGACGGUACUGACGCUGAGACGCGAAAGCGUGGGGAGCGAACAGG